This 377-nucleotide ribosomal RNA is filed under the name uncultured bacterium. Its description in RNAcentral is "bacterial SSU rRNA". It matches the Rfam family "Bacterial small subunit ribosomal RNA", at positions 521 to 895 of the family's 1533-position model. The record is from RNAcentral.
UAAUACGUAGGGGGCGAGCGUUGUCCGAAGUUACUGGGCGUAAAGCGCGCGUAGGCGGGCUAAUAAGUCGGAAGUGAAAGGCUGGGGCUCAACCUCAUGCAGUGCUUCCGAUACUGUUGGUCUUGAGUGCGUCAGGGAGAAGUGGAAUGGCUGGUGUAGCGGUGAAAUGCGUAGAUAUCAGUCGGAACACCGGUGGCGAAGGCGGCUUCUUGGGGCGUUACUGACGCUGAGGCGCGAAAGCUGGGGGAGCGAACGGGAUUAGAUACCCCGGUAGUCCCAGCCGUAAACGAUGGAUACUAGGUGUCGGGGGUAUCGACCCCCUCGGUGCCGCAGCUAACGCAUUAAGUAUCCCGCCUGGGGAGUACGGCCGCAAGGUU